RNAcentral lists this ribosomal RNA (253 nucleotides) under uncultured bacterium. RNAcentral's name for it is "partial 16S ribosomal RNA". It matches the Rfam family "Bacterial small subunit ribosomal RNA", at positions 524 to 776 of the family's 1533-position model. The record is from RNAcentral.
UACGUAGGGGGCUAGCGUUGUUCGGAAUCACUGGGCGUAAAGGGCGUGUAGGCGGUCUGUUAAGUCUGAUGUGAAAUCCCCUCGCUCAACGAGGGAACUGCGUCGGAUACUGGCAGACUCGAGUACCGGAGAGGAAGGUGGAAUUCCCGGUGUAGCGGUGAAAUGCGUAGAUAUCAGGUGGAACACCGGUGGCGAAGGCGGUCUUCUGGACAGUGACUGACGCUGAGACGCGAAAGCGUGGGGAGCAAACAGG